GAUGAAGAACGUAGCGAAAUGCGAUAAGUAAUGCGAAUUGCAGAAUUUCCGUGAGUCAUCGAAUCUUUGAACGCACAUUGCGCCCGCCAGCAUUCUGGUGGGCAUGCCUGUUCGAGCGUCAUUUCAACCCUCGAGCCCCCCCGGGGGCCUCGGUGUUGGGGGACGGCACACCAGCCGCCCCCGAAAUGCAGUGGCGACCCCGCCGCAGCCUCCCCUGCGUAGUAGCACACACCUCGCACCGGAGCGCGGAGGCGGUCACGCCGUAAAACGCCCAACUUUCUUAGAGUUGACCUCGGAUCAGGUAGGAAUACCCGCUGAACUUAAGCAUAUCAAUAAGCGGAGGA
RNAcentral lists this unclassified non-coding RNA (344 nucleotides) under soil metagenome. Its description in RNAcentral is "partial contains 5.8S ribosomal RNA, internal transcribed spacer 2, and large subunit ribosomal RNA". The stretch from base 1 to 121 matches the Rfam family "5.8S ribosomal RNA", at positions 35 to 154 of the family's 154-position model. The record is from RNAcentral.